GUCUUUGCUAGGGUAAUCCUCUUUAGUGUGAGAGGAACCACGGGUUCGGAUAUUUGGUAUAUGUGCCUGGCCGAAAGGCCAAUGGUGUGAAGCUACCAUCUGAGGGAUCAGGACUGAACGCCUCCAAGUCUAAAUCCCGUGCAGAUAUGCAACGGU
RNAcentral lists this non-coding RNA (156 nucleotides) under Clonorchis sinensis. Its description in RNAcentral is "Eukaryotic large subunit ribosomal RNA". It matches the Rfam family "Eukaryotic large subunit ribosomal RNA", at positions 3007 to 3161 of the family's 3401-position model. The record is from Rfam by way of RNAcentral. Lineage: Eukaryota; Metazoa; Platyhelminthes; Trematoda; Opisthorchiida; Opisthorchiidae.